Molecule: long non-coding RNA, 92 nt
Organism: Haliotis rubra (blacklip abalone)
Lineage: Eukaryota; Metazoa; Mollusca; Gastropoda; Lepetellida; Haliotidae
Exons: 3
Source: RefSeq, a predicted model, not a curated record
GACACCAGAAAUUGGCUUCAUACAUUGUACUCAUGUUGAGAACCGAAUCCGGGUCUUCGUCGUCACGAGCAAACACUUUCAUACAACCGGAU